This is a non-coding RNA of Paramuricea clavata, 302 nucleotides long. The record is from the annotation of a GenBank genome assembly. Lineage: Eukaryota; Metazoa; Cnidaria; Anthozoa; Malacalcyonacea; Plexauridae.
UCGCGUUGUCUUUCAAAGUGACGCCGAACAUGUGAAUGUACUGGAACCCAUUGCGUGGUCAUUGAUUGGAAUAGGGUGCUUCUUUGGUGUCAUUUCAUCUGUAAUACGCUAUGUGCUCAAACGGAGAGAAGAGGCAGUUAAUAAUGAGAGCAUAACAGAGGUUCAAGCAAAUGCUUUCCAUCUACCAGAAUCAGGCGUCAUAUCUACAACCAACAGAAAGAACAGCUCUUUUGAAAUGUAUUAAUUAAUUAUGCACAAAUCUGUUGCUAUGAGAACUGUCUGUACCCAGGGCCGCAGGGGGG